Lolium perenne is the source of this 605-nucleotide non-coding RNA. The record is from RefSeq and is a predicted model, not a curated record. NCBI's taxonomy places the organism in Eukaryota, Viridiplantae, Streptophyta, Magnoliopsida, Poales, Poaceae.
CAGUUUUCUCCUCUGAAUGAAGCUGCAUGUCCUGAACACUUGAAAUUAUCUGACUGAAAAAGAUAGAGCGAGAUGAGUCCAUGAAAGAAACAUGACAGUAAAUUGUAAGAGAAGGAUAAAAAGGAAGUAGAACAUGAUCUGCAUCUGAGCCCACUCAAGGCAGUGAGUGAAGGUGCGUACUGGAAGGUGGCGACCUAGCACAGCAGCGCAAGCCGGAGAGAGGUUUGUGUUUAGUGGAGCAGCAGCAACUCGUACAUGUUCAUCUCACACCUGCCAGUGUAGCCACCCUUAUCUCACAAGCAAGGGAUGAUUUCUUCUACAGUGUCUUCUUCAAUCUAUUCUCGCCAAGAUAUGGACACGGCUUUGCACUUGUGGAUUCCUUCGGUGCUGCGUGUGUCAGAGUGAGAUUCCCACUGCAGCAGCUCGGGUCAAGUCUUGCCCAUGCCCUAAGCCGUAGGUCUGCUUUUUAGGCAAUUUAUGCUUUUGUCAUGUUUCCGCUUCACUUCAUUUUCAUUCUGGUGCUCAGCGUGAAAUGGAGAGGACUGUAUUUCAUUGUUAAACUUCCUUUGCAGAAAUAUAUCUAUCUAGAAUAUAAAUUCGUUUUC